Molecule: ribosomal RNA, 253 nt
Filed under: uncultured bacterium
Lineage: Bacteria
Description: partial 16S ribosomal RNA
Rfam family: Bacterial small subunit ribosomal RNA
Source: RNAcentral
UACAGAGGUCCCAAGCGUUGUUCGGAUUUACUGGGCGUAAAGGGCGCGUAGGUUGCAAGCUAAGUCCAAUGUGAAAGCUCUGAGCUCAACUCAGAAAUGGCAUUGGAAACUAUCUUGCUAGAGGAUUGAAGGGGAGACUGGAAUGCUCGGUGUAGCAGUGAAAUGCGUAGAUAUCGAGCGGAACACCAGUGGCGAAGGCGAGUCUCUAGGCAAUUCCUGACACUGAGGCGCGAAAGCUAGGGGAGCAAACGGG